UGCGUAGGCGGUUUACUAAGUCAGAUGUGAAAGCCCCGGGCUUAACCUGGGAACUGCAUUUGAUACUGGUAGGCUAGAGUAUGAUAGAGGGGGGUAGAAUUCCUGGUGUAGCGGUGAAAUGCGUAGAUAUCAGGAGGAAUACCAGUGGCGAAGGCCGGCCCCCUGGAUCAAUACUGACGCUGAGGUACGAAAGCGUGGGUAGCGAACA
Molecule: ribosomal RNA, 208 nt
Filed under: uncultured bacterium
Lineage: Bacteria
Description: partial 16S ribosomal RNA
Rfam family: Bacterial small subunit ribosomal RNA
Source: RNAcentral